AGGUGUGAUCAUACCAGCACUAAUGCACCGGAUCCCAUCAGAACUCCGCAGAUAAGCGUGCUUGGCCGAGAGUAGUACUAAGAUGGGUGACCUCCUUGGAAGUCCUCGUGUUGCAUUUC
RNAcentral lists this ribosomal RNA (119 nucleotides) under Phaseolus vulgaris (common bean). The record is from RNAcentral. Lineage: Eukaryota; Viridiplantae; Streptophyta; Magnoliopsida; Fabales; Fabaceae.